ACUGGCCACCCUAGGCUUUCAAAACCUGUUCCAGGCUGCCACAGUCACCACUCAGCCUUCCCCCCCAGAAGUUUCUGGGGAUGUCUUCUCUGUCAACAACCACGAUAUACCCAUGGGGACGGAGCCUACUCCUGUCUGACCUCAUCUUAUCAUCUCUCUGGUUUCUGUUCCCCGUCUAUCACCAGGCCAGAAAGAGCAGUAUGCGCAAGGAGCCUGACUCUUCUUAAGAACAAGAACACAAAAAGGAGCUCAAAAACCAGCUUUGUCCUGAGCCGUAUACGGAGCAGGAAGGAUUGCAGGCAGGGGAUCUCUCGGUUUCCCACAAGGCCUUCCUGGGUGGCGAUGACAGACAGAUGAGCAAACGGACAUGGAUGCUUGAAAUUCACAAGUCUGAGACCAAGAGAAUUUAUCGUUGUAAUCAAAUAAAGCUUCCAAUCAACUUCC
Mus musculus (house mouse) is the source of this 444-nucleotide long non-coding RNA. RefSeq annotates it as predicted gene, 51559. The transcript is spliced from 2 exons. NCBI's taxonomy places the organism in Eukaryota, Metazoa, Chordata, Mammalia, Rodentia, Muridae. The record is from RefSeq and is a predicted model, not a curated record.